This 1206-nucleotide ribosomal RNA is filed under the name Triticum aestivum (bread wheat). Its description in RNAcentral is "partial small subunit ribosomal RNA". The record is from RNAcentral. Lineage: Eukaryota; Viridiplantae; Streptophyta; Magnoliopsida; Poales; Poaceae.
AUGGCUGCAACGACGAGGUUGCAAGCUGCAACGGCGAGGCUGCUACCCAACAACGACGAGGCUACGAUGGUGAAGGUUGCAAGCUGCAACGGCGAGGCUUAUACCCGACGACGGCUAGGCUAUGACGGCGAGGUUGCAAGCUGCAAUGGUGAUGCUACGAUGGCGGUGCAUGAGGGAGGGUACGACAACGAGCUGAUGGUGAGCAAUAUAAUCUUUAUUGAUAGUCCUGUUGGGUCUGGGUUCUCGUACGGCACAUUGGAGGAAGGGUUCAUAUCUAGUGAUACCACGGCAGUUAAAAGGCUAGUCGUCUUUCUCAAAAAGUGGUUACGUGGACACCCCCAGUUCCUCUCAAAUUCACUUUAUGUUGGCGGUGAAUCAUAUUGUGGUAUGAUCAUACCCACUCUUGCCCUGGAAAUACACAUAUCAAAUAAAGAAUCUGGCGAAGAACCACUUCUUAACCUCAAGGGGUACUUUGCCGGGAAUCCAGUGACUGACGACAGGUUUGACACCGCUGGUAAAGUCCAAUUUUUUCAUGGCAUGGGAUUGCUAUCGGACGAACUUUACGAGAAUGCAAAGAAAAUUUAUCCACAGUUUGCCAUGGAGAACUGCGGAGGAAAUUAUAGUGAUCCACCCAAUGUGUUAUGCGCCGAGUCCAUCCAAGCUAUUGACGAUUGCACAAAAGAUAUCAACUUGUCCCACAUCCUGGAACCCAAAUGCGAGGCAAUAUGGAGCCCCAGGAUUCAGCAAGCAGCUGCAAGAAAUGGAACAAGUGGGCUCACAGUGCAGUACUCCGCUGGUGAUGAUCUCCUGUUUCCCUUCAAGUGUAGAAGCGAUGCCCAACAGCUAUCUUAUAUCUGGGCAAAUGAUGAGGGAGUAAGGGAGAGUCUUGGCGUUCGCAAGGGAACAAAGGGGGAAUGGAAAAGAUGUGAUCGCGACCUACCGUACGCUAGAGAUAUCACAAGUACAGUAGAGAUUCAUUCGAGGCUACGCAGACAAGGAUAUCCAGCGCUGAUAUACAGCGGCGACCAUGAUAGCAAGUUUCCCUUCGUUGGCACGCAAGCAUGGAUAAGAUCUCUUAACCUGUCUAUCACAGAUGACUGGAGACCAUGGCCAAGUUGCUGGGGUGCUGGGCAUACUGCUCCAGAGUACAAGCCCAAGGAGUGCCUCGAGAUGUUCGCAAGAUGGCUUUCGGGUGACCCUCUGUGA